RNAcentral lists this ribosomal RNA (468 nucleotides) under uncultured bacterium. RNAcentral's name for it is "partial 16S ribosomal RNA". It matches the Rfam family "Bacterial small subunit ribosomal RNA", at positions 28 to 507 of the family's 1533-position model. The record is from RNAcentral.
GACGAACGCUGGCGGCGUGCUUAACACAUGCAAGUCGAACGGAAAGGCCCUGCUUUUGUGGGGUGCUCGAGUGGCGAACGGGUGAGUAACACGUGAGUAACCUGCCCUUGACUUUGGGAUAACUUCAGGAAACUGGGGCUAAUACCGGAUAGGAGCUCCUGCUGCACGGUGGGGGUUGGAAAGUUUCGGCGGUUGGGGAUGGACUCGCGGCUUAUCAGCUUGUUGGUGGGGUAGUGGCUUACCAAGGCUUUGACGGGUAGCCGGCCUGAGAGGGUGACCGGCCACAUUGGGACUGAGAUACGGCCCAGACUCCUACGGGAGGCAGCAGUGGGGAAUAUUGCACAAUGGGCGGAAGCCUGAUGCAGCAACGCCGCGUGCGGGAUGACGGCCUUCGGGUUGUAAACCGCUUUCGCCUGUGACGAAGCGUGAGUGACGGUAAUGGGUAAAGAAGCACCGGCUAACCACGUG